UUCCGGUUGAUCCUGCCGGACCUGACUGCUAUCGGAUUGAUACUAAGCCAUGCGAGUCAUUGUAGUAAUACAAGGCAGACGGCUCAGUAACGCGUAGUCAACCUACCCUAUGGACGAGGAUAAUCUCGGGAAACUGAGAAUAAUACUCGAUAGACCAUUAUGCCUGGAACGGUUUAUGGUUAAAAUGAUUCGUCGCCAUAGGAUGGGACUGCGGCCUAUCAGCUUGUUGGUGAGGUAAUGGCCCACCAAGGCGAUUACAGGUACGGGCUCUGAGAGGAGAAGCCCGGAGAUGGGUACUGAGACAAGGACCCAGGCCCUAUGGGGCGCAGCAGGCGAGAAAACUUUGCAAUGUGCGAAAGCACGACAAGGUUAGUCCGAGUGAUUUCUGCUAAAGAAAUCUUUUGCAAGUCAUAAAACCACUAGUGAAUAAGGGGUGGGCAAGUUCUGGUGUCAGCCGCCGCGGUAAAACCAGCACCUCAAGUGGUCAGGAUGAUUAUUGGGCCUAAAGCAUCCGUAGCCGGCUCUGUUAGUUUUCGGUUAAAUCUAUGUGCUCAACGCAUGGGCUGCCGAAAAUACUGCAGGGCUAGGGAGAGGGAGAGGUAGACGGUACUCGGUAGGAAGGGGUAAAAUCCUUUGAUCUAUCGAUGACCACCUGUGGCGAAGGCGGUCUACCAGAACACGUUCGACGGUGAGGGAUGAAAGCUGGGGGAGCAAACCGGAUUAGAUACCCGGGUAGUCCCAGCUGUAAACGAUGCAGACUCGAUGAUGCAUUGGCUUAUUGCCAAUGCAGUGUCGCAGGGAAGCCGUUAAGUCUGCCGCCUGGGAAGUACGUACGCAAGUAUGAAACUUAAAGGAAUUGGCGGGGGAGCACCACAAGGGGUGAAGCCUGCGGUU
This 894-nucleotide ribosomal RNA is filed under the name uncultured archaeon. Its description in RNAcentral is "bacterial SSU rRNA". It matches the Rfam family "Archaeal small subunit ribosomal RNA", at positions 1 to 902 of the family's 1478-position model. The record is from RNAcentral.